Molecule: ribosomal RNA, 902 nt
Filed under: Enterococcus casseliflavus
Lineage: Bacteria; Bacillati; Bacillota; Bacilli; Lactobacillales; Enterococcaceae
Description: bacterial SSU rRNA
Rfam family: Bacterial small subunit ribosomal RNA
Source: RNAcentral
CGGCUCAACCGGGGAGGGUCAUUGGAAACUGGGAGACUUGAGUGCAGAAGAGGAGAGUGGAAUUUCCAUGUGUAGCGGUGAAAUGCGUAGAUAUAUGGAGGAACACCAGUGGCGAAGGCGGCUCUCUGGUCUGUAACUGACGCUGAGGCUCGAAAGCGUGGGGAGCGAACAGGAUUAGAUACCCUGGUAGUCCACGCCGUAAACGAUGAGUGCUAAGUGUUGGAGGGUUUCCGCCCUUCAGUGCUGCAGCAAACGCAUUAAGCACUCCGCCUGGGGAGUACGACCGCAAGGUUGAAACUCAAAGGAAUUGACGGGGGCCCGCACAAGCGGUGGAGCAUGUGGUUUAAUUUGAAGCAACGCGAAGAACCUUACCAGGUCUUGACAUCCUUUGACCACUCUAGAGAUAGAGCUUCCCCUUCGGGGGCAAAGUGACAGGUGGUGCAUGGUUGUCGUCAGCUCGUGUCGUGAGAUGUUGGGUUAAGUCCCGCAACGAGCGCAACCCUUAUUGUUAGUUGCCAUCAUUUAGUUGGGCACUCUAGCGAGACUGCCGGUGACAAACCGGAGGAAGGUGGGGAUGACGUCAAAUCAUCAUGCCCCUUAUGACCUGGGCUACACACGUGCUACAAUGGGAAGUACAACGAGUUGCGAAGUCGCGAGGCUAAGCUAAUCUCUUAAAGCUUCUCUCAGUUCGGAUUGUAGGCUGCAACUCGCCUACAUGAAGCCGGAAUCGCUAGUAAUCGCGGAUCAGCACGCCGCGGUGAAUACGUUCCCGGGCCUUGUACACACCGCCCGUCACACCACGAGAGUUUGUAACACCCGAAGUCGGUGAGGUAACCUUUUUGGAGCCAGCCGCCUAAGGUGGGAUAGAUGAUUGGGGGAAGUCGUAACAAAGUGGCCUUUGG